GACGAACGCUGGCGGCGUGCCUAAUACAUGCAAGUAGAACGCAGUUGCGAACGGGUGAGUAACACGUAGGUAACUGCCUCAUAGCGGGGGAUAACUAUUGGAAACGAUAGCUAAUACCGCAUACUGUGAGGUGGACCUGCGGUGUAUUAGCUAGUUGGUGAGGUAAAGGUUCACCAAGGCGACGAUACAUAGCCGACCUGGGAGGGAGAUCGGCCACACUGGGACUGGGACACGGCCCAGACUACUACGGGAGGCAGCAGUAGGGAAUCUUCGGAAAUGGACGGAAGGCUGACCGAGCAACGCGGCGUGAGUGAAGAAGGUUCUCGGAGCGGAAAGCUCUGUUGGUAGAGGAGCGGUAACUAACCAGAAAGUGACGGCUAACUACGUGCCAGCAGCCGCGGUAAUUC
Molecule: ribosomal RNA, 407 nt
Filed under: uncultured bacterium
Lineage: Bacteria
Description: partial 16S ribosomal RNA
Rfam family: Bacterial small subunit ribosomal RNA
Source: RNAcentral